RNAcentral lists this non-coding RNA (45 nucleotides) under Schistosoma mansoni. Lineage: Eukaryota; Metazoa; Platyhelminthes; Trematoda; Strigeidida; Schistosomatidae. The record is from RNAcentral.
AUCCAGCUGACGAGUCCCAAGUAGAUCGAUACGCGCGUCCUGGAU